GCUAAUACCGCAUACACUCUGAGGAGGAAAGUAGGGGAUCGAAAGACCUUAUGCUUUUGGAGCGGCCGAUGUCUGAUUAGCUAGUUGGUAAGGUAAUGGCUUACCAAGGCAACGAUCAGUAGUUGGUCUGAGAGGACGACCAGCCACACUGGGACUGAGACACGGCCCAGACUCCUACGGGAGGCAGCAGUGGGGAAUUUUGGACAAUGGGCGCAAGCCUGAUCCAGCAAUGCCGCGUGAGUGAAGAAGGCCUUCGGGUUGUAAAGCUCUUUCAGUUGAGAAGAAAAGAUUGUGACUAAUAAUUGCAAUUCAUGACGGUAUCAACAGAAGAAGCACCGGCUAACUACGUGCCAGCAGCCGCGGUAAUACGUAGGGUGCGAGCGUUAAUCGGAAUUACUGGGCGUAAAGGGUGCGCAGGCGGUUCUGUAAGUCAGAUGUGAAAUCCCCGGGCUUAACCUGGGAACUGCGU
This 469-nucleotide ribosomal RNA is filed under the name uncultured ammonia-oxidizing bacterium. RNAcentral describes it as "bacterial SSU rRNA". It matches the Rfam family "Bacterial small subunit ribosomal RNA", at positions 162 to 626 of the family's 1533-position model. The record is from RNAcentral.